Molecule: non-coding RNA, 1353 nt
Organism: Aegilops tauschii subsp. strangulata
Lineage: Eukaryota; Viridiplantae; Streptophyta; Magnoliopsida; Poales; Poaceae
Source: RefSeq, a predicted model, not a curated record
AUUUAUCCGACGACGAUUAAGGUACAAUAGGUCGAUGUUCUACACUCAGCUUUUGCUCAUGGAGUUGAUGGACUCAUUUACUUCUAUGCUUCCGGCGGCAACAAGUGUGUGGCGGUGCGCUACGUGCCCCUCAUGCUGCUCGGCUCGGCCCGGACGUGGCUGAACAGCCUACCGGCUAACACGUUGACAUUUUUGAAUUUUAAUAAAAAGAUUAAACUACACGAACAUUUAUAUUACAUCGUAUAAACAUUUGUUUAGAUAUCACAAACAUUAUUUUGAAAUGCGAGAAUAUUCCUUUGAAAUGUCACAUACAUUUUUAAGGGUACAAAAACCUUUUUUAUACUACAUAAUUUUUCACGUUGUAUAAACUUUUUUCAUAAAUUUCACAUACAUUUUUAUGUAACACAGGAACAUUUUUUUCAUGUCGACAACAUUUGUUUUGAAAGGUAUCAAUUUUUUAAAAUUCUGCAGCAACAUUUAUACUAUAUUAUAUUUUUCAAAUUCUGCAACAUUUUUAAAUUACGCCUAUGAUGGCCUAAGUCACUCUGAUAAAACUUUACUUCGAACUACUACUAGUGAACCUCUAAUGUGAAGAUAGCAUUCGCCUACCUAUGGUCGUUUCAGAUGUAAUCAACAUGUGGAAGCUCAUGGUUUUUCCUCUGGUCUUCCCCAAAAUGCUAUCUACUUCUCACAACGCAGAGAUCUCUCAUAGACUCAAAGGAUCAUUCUUCCUUAAUCUCCCUUAGGCUUGGAGGCCAUCUUCUACACCGAACCCUGACACACUACAAAGAUAUCGUAGUGUAAGAGCAUCUACUGGUGCAGUCACCAAAUCUGGCUCCUCAAACACCCGUUGGACUUCUCUGUUGGCUUGUGCGUUGUUUUGUGCCGUUCGUCGGACGUGGUGCACAUUGGCCUUCCUCUCGCUUCGUUUUGCAGGGGCUUCUUUGAGCUUACCGGGCGUCGGCGGCUUCGAGCCUACUCGGCGUCGCCGGCGUUCGGCUCCCCGUUGGUUUAUUGUAGGACCUCAGAAUUGGACUUGUGUUUCACCCAGCUUUGCACGCGUAUUUGGAGUUACGUUGAAUCCGUCGGAUGCAUGAUGGGGGAGGAAAGUGUGAGCGGACAGGUCUCGUAGACAAAAUGUGUACUGAAAACAUGAAAUGUGUGGCAAUGCACGCCCAUUUGAUGCUCUCAAUGGUCUUGGGAUGGUGUUCGAUGUCGUUACUUCAGGAAAUGUUUUGUUGAGUGUUGCCUUUUUGUAUGUCCUUAAUCAUUCGGGUUUAUUCAAGUGAAUUGCAUAACUUGUCGCUUGAAAGAGAUGUAAAGUUGUCAUUGGAUUUCGUUGCUUGAAGCGCA